This 701-nucleotide ribosomal RNA is filed under the name uncultured bacterium. RNAcentral's name for it is "bacterial SSU rRNA". It matches the Rfam family "Bacterial small subunit ribosomal RNA", at positions 67 to 758 of the family's 1533-position model. The record is from RNAcentral.
GGGCAGCGGGGGAGUGGCAACACUUCCGCCGGCGACAGGCGCACGGGUGAGUAACACGUAUGAAACCUGCCCGCAUCAGGGGGAUAAGCGGAAGAAAUUCCGUCUAAUACCGCGUAACAACCGACGGGGGCAUCCCUGUUGGUUCAAAGGAACGAUCCGGCUGCGGAUGGUCAUGCGGCGCAUUAGCUAGUUGGCGGGGCAACGGCCCACCAAGGCGACGAUGCGUAGGGGUUCUGAGAGGAAGGUCCCCCACACUGGUACUGAGACACGGACCAGACUCCUACGGGAGGCAGCAGUGAGGAAUAUUGGUCAAUGGCCGAGAGGCUGAACCAGCCAAGUCGCGUGAGGGAUGACGGCCCUACGGGUUGUAAACCUCUUUUGCCGGGGAGCAAAGAGCGGGACGCGUCCCGCCUCGAGAGUACCCGGAGAAAAAGCAUCGGCUAACUCCGUGCCAGCAGCCGCGGUAAUACGGAGGAUGCGAGCGUUAUCCGGAUUUAUUGGGUUUAAAGGGUGCGCAGGCGGAAGCGCAAGUCAGCGGUAAAAUUGAGAGGCUCAACCUCUUCCCGCCGUUGAAACUGCGUUUCUUGAGUGGGCGAGAAGUACGCGGAAUGCGUGGUGUAGCGGUGAAAUGCAUAGAUAUCACGCAGAACUCCGAUUGCGAAGGCAGCGUACCGGCGCCCAACUGACGCUCAUGCACGAAA